This 272-nucleotide long non-coding RNA is filed under the name Phoenix dactylifera (date palm). RNAcentral describes it as "long non-coding RNA (PDAC_LNC010290)". Lineage: Eukaryota; Viridiplantae; Streptophyta; Magnoliopsida; Arecales; Arecaceae. The record is from RNAcentral.
AUAUUAUAUUGUGCUAUUCAAGAAACAAAGUUUAAUGAAAUUUCUGCAUGCUUAUCUGCUAAGGAGAUCUGGGAUACUUUAGAAAAUAUUUAUGAUAAAUCUCAGAUUAGCUCUCAUAUGCUUCAAUUAUAUACUAACAAUGAGACUGCAGAAAAGGGUGAUGAAUCUCCCUCAGUCGAGUCGACUCCAAGUAGCUCAGAGUCGACUCUCAAGUUCACCGAGUCGACUCCAAUAAGGUCCGAGUCGACUCCGAGGCAAAUCAGCUUCCUAAA